Molecule: long non-coding RNA, 844 nt
Organism: Argiope bruennichi
Lineage: Eukaryota; Metazoa; Arthropoda; Arachnida; Araneae; Araneidae
Exons: 3
Source: RefSeq, a predicted model, not a curated record
GAGCCAGGUGUUAAAUGAAAAUUCCCCAACUAAGUUUGAAGAGCUACUGACAGCCGAGUCACGCUUUAAGGCAAAAGACUGUCAUGCGCCCUCAUCACAGCCACACAUGCACACAGCAGCACUUCUCCUUCAAAAUAAGAAAAAUACAUAUUUCCUUAUCUUGGCCUGGCAGGCACUCCAGCUGGGAUUUUGCCUCUCUCCGCUAUCGGCGAGAUUGCCAGGCUGUGAGAAAUGGUGAGAAAGUAAUUACUUUUCAAAUCAUGCAAACUACAGUUAAUGCAAGGCUGGUUUAAGUGAAGGACAAAUUUGGGUGUUGAUUAUCCAAGAUGGCAGAAAGUUGGCACAUUUUGGGGCUUUCGUACUGGCUUGGCAUGAUUCUUAAGAAACCGGAUAUUUGACAUCUUCACAAGAAAACAAAGCAAAUCUGCAGAGAAAGAGAAAUUCCCUUUCUUUGCUAUUAACAGCUUAUCAAAGAUAACAGAGCAACUGAAGUAUAAAUACAAAUGAUGAGUCAUGGAUUCCUUACAGAGACAUAUUCAAAGGAUAUAGCAUACCAUCUUGGUCUUGAUUGAGCAGUUUGAUGCAUAACAAUAAGUAAACAUAACUAACUUUGAUAAUAGAAAUAAAUUUAAUUAUAAAACAUAGGUUGUAUGCAAAGUAGCAAUAAAUAGUUCUCUUACAACAAAAUAAAUAUUAAACAUGUAGCUGAUUGACAUUUGAAAAAAAAAACUUUUUUUAUUAAAAUGAGAAUGAGAGUGAGUUAAAUGAGAAUAUUCCCACUACAAACUAAUAAAUAAACCUUUAAAAAAAAGUACCCUAUUUACAUAAUGUGCUUAAAAGUUUA